CCUACGGGGAGCAGCAGUGGGGGAUAUUGCACAAUGGGGGGAACCCUGAUGCAGCGACGCCGCGUGGGUGAAGAAGCGCCUCGGCGCGUAAAGCCCUGUCAGCAGGGAAGAAAAUGACGGUACCUGAAGAAGAAGCCCCGGCUAACUACGUGCCAGCAGCCGCGGUAAUACGUAGGGGGCAAGCGUUAUCCGGAUUUACUGGGUGGAAAGGGGGCGCAGACGGCGAUGCAAGCCAGGAGUGAAAGCCCGGGGCCCAACCCCGGGACUGCUCUUGGAACUGCGUGGCUGGAGUGCAGGAGGGGCAGGCGGAAUUCCUGGGGUAGCGGUGAAAUGCGUAGAUAUCAGGAGGAACACCGGUGGCGAAGGCGGCCUGCUGGACUGCAACUGACGUUGAGGCCCGAAAGCGUGGGGAGCAAACAGGAUUAGAUACCCCAGUAGUC
Molecule: ribosomal RNA, 440 nt
Filed under: uncultured bacterium
Lineage: Bacteria
Description: partial 16S ribosomal RNA
Rfam family: Bacterial small subunit ribosomal RNA
Source: RNAcentral